This is a non-coding RNA of Cricetulus griseus (Chinese hamster), 543 nucleotides long. Lineage: Eukaryota; Metazoa; Chordata; Mammalia; Rodentia; Cricetidae. The record is from RefSeq and is a predicted model, not a curated record.
GGCGGAAACCAGCGCCAUCUUUAAGGCGCAGCACGUUGCAGCUCUCUACAGAUGGGGCUAGACAAGCCUGAAGAGCGAUGUCCCUGGGUAGGAAGAGAACCAAGAGACAGGUUGAGUAGUUUCUCGUCUUGGAAACCUUUAUCUUAGGUAGUCGCUCUUUCACCUCACUUGGCAGUGUGAGAGCAAGCCCUGGAUUAUUCUGCUAGCCUGUGGACACUUCUCUGUAAGGAUCCUAGGACACUGGAACAAAAUGGGCCACACCUCAUCGAGUUCACUGGAUCCAACUUGAGUGGUUUGAACUGACACUCCGGCCAGAGCUUCGGGUACUGACUUCAGUCAAUACAAGGACUUCAAUCAAGAUAAGGACUUCAACCUAGGCCCUCAAUCAAGCAUCUCCUACAAAACACAGACUGGACUCAAGACUUUUACUACUCUAACAUUUUCUUCCUACAGGACCCCACGAGGCUAAUGUCAUCCCAUUUCAGCAGGAAGUAAAUUGGAGAAUACUACACCCCCUUUCCCCGUUGUAGACACCGAGUUAGG